This 402-nucleotide ribosomal RNA is filed under the name uncultured Gracilibacter sp. RNAcentral's name for it is "bacterial SSU rRNA". It matches the Rfam family "Bacterial small subunit ribosomal RNA", at positions 353 to 772 of the family's 1533-position model. The record is from RNAcentral. Lineage: Bacteria; Bacillati; Bacillota; Clostridia; Eubacteriales; Gracilibacteraceae.
AGUGGGGAAUAUUGCGCAAUGGGGGAAACCCUGACGCAGCAACGCCGCGUGGAGGAAGAAGGUCUUCGGAUUGUAAACUCCUGUCUUCUGGGACGAUAAUGACGGUACCAGAGGAGGAAGCCACGGCUAACUACGUGCCAGCAGCCGCGGUAAUACGUAGGUGGCGAGCGUUGUCCGGAAUUACUGGGCGUAAAGGGCGCGUAGGCGGCUCUUUAAGUUAGAUGUGAAAACCCAGGGCUUAACUCUGGGACUGCAUUUAAAACUGAAGGGCUCGAGUGCAGGAGAGGUAAGUGGAAUUCCUAGUGUAGCGGUGAAAUGCGUAGAUAUUAGGAGGAACACCAGUGGCGAAGGCGACUUACUGGACUGUAACUGACGCUGAGGCGCGAAAGCGUGGGGAGCAAA